UGGAACUCUAUAUUCCCGCCGUUAAUUGCUCUCAAGCCAGGGGCCAUCAACACCAUCAAGCUCUGUAGCAGCUUCUAUGCACAAACUCCUGUAAGUAAAACAAAGCCGACUGAUUGGUGAACACACUAGGGUACUAGAAAUAGCAGUGAUAAAGCAAAUCCCUGGUGACUUGGUUCAGUCGAAGAAGCCAUACCUGCAAACUUAGCCAUACGUAAAUCUUGAAGUACCCAUGACCCACAGACAUGGCAGAGGGAGAAAGCAGCACACGUUUAUGUUUGCUUGGCCUACGCACACAUCCGUACCUUUGCUUCAUCCUGUCUAAUGCUGGAAGGGAGGGAGCACAUGUCCACGUGACAAGCUGUUGUUGUUGUCGUUCUCUCACAUAUGGCUCAUACCCACACUGAGGAAUUGGCCAAGAAUUGUUCAUAUGAAAUUUUAAGUACAUGUAAGCCCUGAUUGUUUUUCUUCUUUUUGUUUCUAUUUUGCUCUGCAGCACAUAUCCAUUGGCAGCAUUGUGCACUUCACGUUAGACUAAGAAUCUAAGUGAUGUGCCAUGGUCAGCACUGUACCAAGUAGUGCCUGUUAGAUUGGGCAUUGCAUGCAUGUAACUUUGCCCAUCUGUCAAGGUGCUUCUUCCUUGAAAAAAAUGGUGCACAAGCUUCUGCUCUAAAUUUCCGCUGUUUUUUCGUCAAACACAAAUGAAACAGCAGGGAUGCCAGAAAGGAGGAUCAAAAGAAAGGACCCAAGUCAAUAGGGAACUCGGUGAUGCUUAUUGCUGGACUGGUCGUGGCAGCUCCCAUGCACUGUGGCAAUCGACAUCAUGCGAAGCAGCGAGUCUGGUUCCCGCCAUGGAGGACCAAUGGACAAUGACCAACACAUCGAAGCUACGGCUUCCAGUGGACAGCACAGCUGCCAUAUUUGCCCCUAUGUGUCAAAGAGGUCGUCAACGUUGAAACGGCACCUGUUGACUCACAGCAGGAAGAAACCCCUCAGCUGCCUAUUGUGUAAAACUGAUUCCAGCUGUGACAGACCAACGGACAAUGAUCAACACGUUCAAGCUACGACUUCCAGGGGACGGCACAGCUGCCAUCUUUGCCCCUAUGUAGCGAAAAGGCCAGCAUUGUUGAAACGGCACCUGUUGACCCACAAGAUGAAGAAACCCUUCAACUGCAUGUUCUGUCACAGGACUUUUGCACAAUCAGAUACAUUCGCAGAGCACAUGCGCAUACACAAUGGAGACAAGCCAUACCAUUGCCUUAUGUGCUCAUUUAAAGCUGCUCAUAAGAGAUUGUUAGUAUUGCACUGGAAAACGCAUGCCGAUUAAUGUCUCGGAAAGUUGUUGCGGUUUAUAGGGCUCGUACGGGCAAAAAGUCAUUGCAGUGUUGAGAAUGUGCAUGCACCAGCAUUCGUAAAGCGAACCUGACCUGUCGUAUUGUUAUGCUGUGAUCCAAGAAAGACACAUGUAUGAAAAACACAGUUGAAGUAGUGCCAGACAGCUCGCAUGUGUUAUCUUUUGUGUGCCAGUGUACUUGUGUGUGUAAAUAGUGUAUACAUGCGUUUUUGCCAGCCUCUCCCCUUAUUAACAUUAUGUUUGAGCACACCAGGUAGCUAGGCUGGUGCUCAAGGAACCAUUCGCAGUGCCACCACAGAAAUACUGCUAGGUGUAUGGGGGCAUCAACAUCCUAUCACCAUAUGAAAUACGGAAGGCACAAAACUACUUGGGAAGAUUGGAAUUAAGGAGACCUCAAAACACCAUUGUUACCUGCACUGAUGCUACAACCGGAGAUGAAAGAGCCAGCAUGGUCUGGAUUAGCACGUCUGCAUCGAAACAUGGCCCACUGUCGGCUUCUCAGGGGUGCAACUUUGCCCACAAAGUUCUUGGCAAUAUGGAAAGUGGUCAGUGUUAUUUCUAUCGGCACAUAAGACACUGUAAACAACAUUUUUAAAAAAUAACUAUCGUGCCCUUACAGGUUUGUACAAAGCAGUGGUCCAGCAGUGCCUUGACUAAAGAUGCUGCGGCCAACGACUUCAGAAAAAGAAAAGUUGCAGAAAAUGCAAGAAGUUGGGACACGUGUUAAAAAGUGAUGCUGGGACCGGCACAGACAGGGCAAACGUAGCCACUCGUGCAGUCACCAUGGGCUCAAUUAUACGUACAACACCACGCGCUCCACUUCCUCAGCAAACCCAGCAGAACUAUAUCCAUACCUAAAGAUCUUGCCAGAAGUGCUUUCCUAUCAGAGCACUAAACAUAUACUAGCGCAAAAAUCAUAAGUGAAAGGAAACAGAAGAAGGAGAAGAAAUAAAACUGUCUUUUUUACCUCUCCUUCUUCCGUCUCCUCUCUUUUCGAGGUUUACUCUAGUACGAUAUGUUAAGCAAACACCAACUCACCCAAGAACAAGUUAUUCUGUAGCAGAGCAUUACACUCACACCAUAACCAAAGCUGACAGCAAAAAAACUAUUGAAAGCUACACUAGCGCACAUGUCGUAUAAGGAGGAUGGGUUUACUCAGUCAACAAGCAAUCUUUUUAAACAAGGUUAUAGCCAACACAGCAUACAUGUCACUCACACUUGACAAAUGGUACCAAGCCAGCCAACCAUUGAUUGAAAAUACCUGUACUUGAUGCACGAAUUGUCAGUCAUUAUGCUGAGUAGAUUUUGAACUCGUUUGAACAUGCAUAGCUUCUCACAAGGGAGACCAACAUCUACAAUGUACAACAAUGUAAUAGCAAAGCACAGAAAGCCCUUGCUGUAUAUGGUAGCCAAAGCAGCCUGUGUCAAGUAGUGUAAGAGAGGUUGACUGACUCGUGCAAAAGUGACCGAAUUGAAUGUAUAUUGAACAAGCAGUCUACAUAUACCAGUUGAGCAAGGAGGAACAGAAAAUGAUGUGAAGUUGCUGUUCACCUGACAAUCCCCUAAACCAGACCCCUUUAUCACUUAAUCUCCGGCAGCAGCCAAGAGCCCUCCCUUGUUUGAAUAAAGGUCACAUUCAUUUGUUCAUUUUCAUAAUGAACACUUACUUUCUGGAGUGAAAAGAAAAUUAACCUUGGCUGCCAAUAUAUAGGCAACGACAGCAGUAACAAGUGGACCGCGACUUCAGUGUUGGCCCUGCACCUUGGUAUUUUCUGAAUUGUAUUCAG
Molecule: RNA transcript, 3138 nt
Organism: Rhipicephalus sanguineus (brown dog tick)
Lineage: Eukaryota; Metazoa; Arthropoda; Arachnida; Ixodida; Ixodidae
Exons: 3
Source: RefSeq, a predicted model, not a curated record